CGGGCUAUUAGCUCAGUGGUAGAGCGCGCCCCUGAUAUUUACUUCACGGGCGAGGUCUCUGGUUCAAGUCCA
This 72-nucleotide transfer RNA is filed under the name Nicotiana benthamiana. RNAcentral describes it as "tRNA-Ile". It matches the Rfam family "tRNA", at positions 1 to 61 of the family's 71-position model. Rfam says of the family: Transfer RNA (tRNA) molecules are approximately 80 nucleotides in length. Their secondary structure includes four short double-helical elements and three loops (D, anti-codon, and T loops). The record is from RNAcentral. Lineage: Eukaryota; Viridiplantae; Streptophyta; Magnoliopsida; Solanales; Solanaceae.